Molecule: long non-coding RNA, 225 nt
Organism: Mytilus trossulus (common blue mussel)
Lineage: Eukaryota; Metazoa; Mollusca; Bivalvia; Mytilida; Mytilidae
Exons: 3
Source: RefSeq, a predicted model, not a curated record
AGAAGUGACUGUAGGUCUUACUUUGUAUCAGAGAAGAAUGAUAGUUAUAUUUUUCUUAUUCCAAAUUGUGUGUUAUUGUGAAACUUCAAAUUUUACAAGAGAAGAAACUUUGCGUGAACUGUUUAAAAAUUACGACUCUACAAUUCCUCCAACAUUUAACGAUGAUGAACCGGUUAAAGCACUUGUUCAGUUGUACAUUCUAGGUAUAGACUCCGUUAGUGAUUC